This 230-nucleotide ribosomal RNA is filed under the name uncultured bacterium. Its description in RNAcentral is "partial 23S ribosomal RNA". It matches the Rfam family "Bacterial large subunit ribosomal RNA", at positions 259 to 487 of the family's 2925-position model. The record is from RNAcentral.
CCGGAUUAGCCCAAACCAGGUGUUGUUUCGGCAAUACUGGGGUUGUAGGACCACGACAUUGAUUGCGUAAUGAAUUAGAACACUUUGGAAAGAGUGACCGAAGAGGGUGAUAGUCCCGUACAAGUAAAGAGCGUUAAUUAUAGUGGUAUCCUGAGUAGUGCGGGGCACGUGAAACCCUGUAUGAAUCAAGCGGGACCAUCCGUUAAGGCUAAAUACUCCUGAGAGACCGA